Molecule: ribosomal RNA, 445 nt
Filed under: uncultured bacterium
Lineage: Bacteria
Description: partial 16S ribosomal RNA
Rfam family: Bacterial small subunit ribosomal RNA
Source: RNAcentral
GUAGGGAAUAUUGGGCAAUGGAUGCAAGUCUGACCCAGCCAUCCCGCGUGCCGGAAGAAGGCCCUCAGGGUUGUAAACGGCUUUUGACGGUGAAGAAUCGACAGGAUGCGUCCUGUUUUGACGGUAGCCGUUGAAUAAGCACCGGCUAACUCCGUGCCAGCAGCCGCGGUAAUACGGAGGGUGCGAGCGUUGUCCGGAUUUAUUGGGUUUAAAGGGUGCGUAGGCUGGAAGGUCAGUCAGCGGUGAAAAGCUAUCGCUUAACGAGAGUCUUGCCGAAGAUACUUCCUUUCUUGGAUGAGGAGGAGGCCACUGGAACGGAUGGUGUAGCGGUGAAAUGCAUAGAUAUCAUCCAGAACACCGAUUGAGAAGGCAGGUGGCUGUACCUUAAUCGACGCUGAUGCACGAAAGCAUGGGGAGCAAACAGGAUUAGAAACCCUUGUAGUCC